RNAcentral lists this ribosomal RNA (3047 nucleotides) under Fusobacterium naviforme. RNAcentral's name for it is "bacterial LSU rRNA". It matches the Rfam family "Bacterial large subunit ribosomal RNA". The record is from RNAcentral. Lineage: Bacteria; Fusobacteriati; Fusobacteriota; Fusobacteriia; Fusobacteriales; Fusobacteriaceae.
UUAAAUGGAAAGAGCGUAGGGUGGAUGCCUUGGCACUAAGAGCCGAAGAAGGACGUGACAAGCUGCGAAAAGCUGCGGGUAGGAGCAAAUAUCCAAUGAUCCGCAGAUAUCCGAAUGGGGAAACCUGCUGCAGAAGAGCUGCAGCGACUGUACAUGAAUCCAUAGUGUGCAGCCGGGAACCCGCUGAACUGAAACAUCUAAGUAGGCGGAGGAAGAGAAAACAACAGUGAUUCCGUAAGUAGCGGCGAGCGAAAGCGGAGGAGCCCAAACCAUGGUGCGUGCACCAUGGGGUAAGGACUGCAAAAAGAGAGUAUUCCGUUAUCAGAAAGGACCUGGAAAGUCCUGCCGAAGAGGGUGAGAGCCCCGUAAGAGAAAAUGGGAUAUAAUCCGGCAGAAUCCGGAGUACCACGAGACACGUGAAACCUUGUGGGAAGGCGGGGGGACCACCCCCCAAGGCUAAAUACUACUUAGUGACCGAUAGCGCAUAGUACUGUGAAGGAAAGGUGAAAAGGACCCCGGGAGGGGAGUGAAAGAGAACCUGAAACCCUAUGUUUACAUACAGUGGAAGUAUUAUUCUAUGUACUUACCUGCUCUUACGAAGCCUUGCAGGUCUAAAUGAGUGACUGCUGCGUCAACAUACUCGUCGUAGACAACUACGACUGCGUGUGUUUCCUUGCAUUCACACAUUUAUCCGAUGCAAAGCAAUCGUAGAAGGAGGCAAGUACAUAGAAGUACAACCGCGUACUUUUUGUAGAACGGUCCGGCGAGUUGCCGGUGCUGGCGAGGUUAAGGACUAAAGGUCCGGAGCCGAAGGGAAACCGAGUCUUAAUAGGGCGUAAAGUCAGCAGCGGCAGACCCGAAACCGGGUGAUCUAUCCAUGUCCAGGUUGAAGUUCCCGUAAAAGGGAAUGGAGGACCGAACGCACAUCCGUUGAAAAGGGUGGCGAUGAGGUGUGGAUAGGGGAGAAAUUCCAAUCGAACCCGGAGAUAGCUGGUUCUCCUCGAAAUAGCUUUAGGGCUAGCCUCGAUUUAGUCAGACGGAGGUAGAGCACUGAAUUCCUGAGGGGGCGUCAAAGUCUGCCAAGGGAUAUCAAACUGCGAAUGCCGUGCUGAUGGUGAUCGGGAGUCAGACUGUACGAGAUAAGUUGGACAGUCAAAAGGGAAAGAGCCCAGACCUACAGCUAAGGUCCCAAAAUACGUGUUAAGUGGAAAAGGAUGUGGGAUUUCGAAGACAACUAGGAUGUUGGCUCAGAAGCAGCCACACAUUCAAAGAGUGCGUAAUAGCUCACUAGUCGAGAGGUCCUGCGCCGAAAAUUUCCGGGGCUGAAACACGAUACCGAAGCUCAGGAGUGUGUAAAAGCACACUGGUAGAGGAGCAAUCUCAACGCGCAGAAGCAGUACCGAUAAGGAGCUGUGGAGUGUUGAGAAGAGAGAAUGCCGGAAUGAGUAGCGAGAAUGAUGUGAGAAUCAUCAUGGCCGAAUAUCCAAGGAUUCCAGGGUAAAGCUGAUCUGCCCUGGGUAAGUCGGGACCUAAGGCAAGGACGAGAGUCGUAGUCGAUGGACAGCUGGUUCAGAUUCCAGCACCUGACAUGAUCAGAACUGUGGGGACACAGAGACGUAACCGGACCCGGGAGAGCAAAGACCGGGCCAAGCGAAGUAGGUGUGCGGAAGGCAAAUCCGCCGCACAAGCCGAAGGCGUUAAGGGGAGCGAAAUCAAGUAGCGAAGCCGGUGACCGUAACUGUCAAGAAAAGCCGCUAUUGUAUCAUGUCAGCCCGUACCGCAAACCGACACAGGUGGAUGAGGAGAGAAUCCUAAGGCCGGCGGGAGAAGCAUUGUUAAGGAACUCGGCAAAAUGACCCCGUAACUUCGGGAGAAGGGGUGCUGCAGAGAUGCAGCCGCAGAGAAAAGGCUCAAGCAACUGUUUAGCAAAAACACAGGUCUAUGCGAAACCGUAAGGUGAAGUAUAUGGGCUGACGCCUGCCCGGUGCUGGAAGGUUAAGAGGAGAGGUCAGCGGGGAAACCCGCGAAGCUUUGAAUUUAAGCCCCAGUAAACGGCGGCCGUAACUAUAACGGUCCUAAGGUAGCGAAAUUCCUUGUCGGGUAAGUUCCGACCCGCACGAAAGGCGUAAUGAUUUGAGCGCUGUCUCAACAAUGCACCCGGUGAAAUUGAAGUACCAGUGAAGAUGCUGGUGACCUGCGCCAGGACGGAAAGACCCCAUGGAGCUUUACUCUAGUUUGAUACCGGGAUCCGGUGUUACUCGUACAGGAUAGGUGGGAGGCUACGAAGUAUGGACGCCAGUCUAUACGGAGCCGCUGUUGGGAUACCACCCCUGUGGCACUGGGUUUCUAACCUGCGUCCAUUAUCUGGACGGGGGACAAUGUCAGAUGGGGAGUUUGACUGGGGCGGUCGCCUCCGAAAGAGUAUCGGAGGCGCUCAAAGGUUCCCUCAGAAUGGUUGGAAACCAUUCGCAGAGCGCAAAGGCAGAAGGGAGCUUGACUGCGACACCGACGGGUGGAGCAGGUACGAAAGUAGGACUUAGUGAUCCGGUGGUAUAAAGUGGGAUUGCCAUCGCUCAACGGAUAAAAGCUACCCUGGGGAUAACAGGCUUAUCACUCCCAAGAGUUCACAUCGACGGAGUGGUUUGGCACCUCGAUGUCGGCUCAUCACAUCCUGGGGCUGAAGUCGGUCCCAAGGGUUGGGCUGUUCGCCCAUUAAAGUGGUACGCGAGCUGGGUUCAGAACGUCGUGAGACAGUUCGGUCCCUAUCCGGCGCGGGCGUAAGAUAUCUGAGAGGAGCUGUCCUUAGUACGAGAGGACCGGGAUGGACUGACCACUGGUGUACCGGUUGGGGAGCAACCCCACGGCCGGGUAGCCAAGUCGGGCCGGGAUAAACGCUGAAGGCAUCUAAGCGUGAAGCCCCCCUCAAGAUGGGAUAUCUCAUGCGAGAGUAGUAAGACCCCUUUAAGACUAAGAGGUAGAUAGGGCAGAGGUGUAAGCGUAGCGAUACGUUCAGCUGACUGUCACUAAUCGGUCGAGGGUUUAACCAA